RNAcentral lists this ribosomal RNA (278 nucleotides) under uncultured eukaryote. RNAcentral's name for it is "partial 18S ribosomal RNA". It matches the Rfam family "Eukaryotic small subunit ribosomal RNA", at positions 21 to 305 of the family's 1831-position model. The record is from RNAcentral.
UAGUCAUAUGCUUGUCCCAAAGAUUAAGCCAUGCAUGUCUAAGUAUAAAUCGUUAUACGGUGAAACUGCGAAUGGCUCAUUAAAUCAGUUAUAAUUUAUUUGAUGGUUUCUUUACUACUUGGAUAACCGUGGUAAUUCUAGAGCUAAUACAUGCAAAAAGCCCGACUCACGAAGGGCUGUAUUUAUUAGAUCAAAAACCAAUGCCUUCGGGCUUCUUGGUGAUUCAUAAUAACUCUGCGGAUCGUAUGGCCUUGCGCCGACGACGCUUCAUUCAAAUU